RNAcentral lists this ribosomal RNA (501 nucleotides) under uncultured bacterium. RNAcentral describes it as "bacterial SSU rRNA". It matches the Rfam family "Bacterial small subunit ribosomal RNA", at positions 29 to 524 of the family's 1533-position model. The record is from RNAcentral.
AUUGAACGCUGGCGGCGUGCUUAACACAUGCAAGUCGAUCGGUAACAGGUGUAGCAAUACAUGCUGACGAGAGGCGGACGGGUGAGUAAUGCUUGGGAAUCUGCCUAUUAGUGGGGGACAACCCGGGGAAACUCGGGCUAAUACCGCAUACGCUCUACGGAGGAAAGCCGGGGACCGCAAGGCCUGGCGCUAAUAGAUGAGCCCAAGUCGGAUUAGCUAGUUGGUAGGGUAACGGCCUACCAAGGCGACAAUCCGUAGCUGGUCUGAGAGGACGACCAGCCACACCGGAACUGAGACACGGUCCGGACUCCUACGGGAGGCAGCAGUGGGGAAUAUUGGACAAUGGGGGCAACCCUGAUCCAGCGACGCCGCGUGGGUGAAGAAGGCCUGCGGGUUGUAAAGCCCUUCGGUGGGAAGAAAAGUCUCGACCUAAUACGUCGGGACCUUGACGUAACCCACUAAAGAAGCACCGGCUAACUCUGUGACAGCCGCCGCCGUAAG